UAUCUCUGUAGAGUCUGCAUAUCAAUAAGCGGAGGAAAAGAAACUAACAAGGAUUCCCUUAGUAACGGCGAGUGAAGCGGGAAGAGCUCAAAUUUGAAAUCUUCAAGGUUCUACCUUGACGAAUUGUAGUUUAAAGAAGUGUUUUCUGUUAGAUGAGUAGCAAAAGUUCCUUGGAAUGGGACAUCAUAGAGGGUGAGAAUCCCGUAUUUGGUUAUUCAUUCUAGCUUUGUGAUACACUUUCAAAGAGUCGGAUUGUUUGGGAAUGCAGUCCAAAAUGGGUGGUAAAUUUCAUCUAAAGCUAAAUAUUGGCGAGAGACCGAUAGCGAACAAGUACCGUGAGGGAAAGAUGAAAAGAACUUUGAAAAGAGAGUUAAACAGUACGUGAAAUUGUCAAAAGGGAAGCGUUUGACACCAGUGUUGUUUUUCCGAAAAUCAAUUACGAAUGGCUUGAUUUUGUGUUGUAUUGACCUUAUCAGCUUUCUUCACUUUUUUCGAGUCUUUCUUAAUGCACUUUUUCGGUUAACAAGUCAACAUCAAUUUCUUUUGUUGUAAAAGAGUAUUCGGAAGGUGGCUUUCUUUUCGGAGAAAGUGUUUAUAGCCCUAUACUUCUACAAUCGGAGAGAUUGAGGUCUGCAGCGUAGAUCCUUCGGGGUUAGAUACACUUUGUGCUAAGUUGUAGCUUUUCAUAGACAACUUGUUGACUAUGUUUAGUCAUGCGGCUUACUCGCUUAGUGCUAUUUUACCUACGCUUAGGAUGUUGACUGAUAUGUAGUCGUA
This 777-nucleotide ribosomal RNA is filed under the name uncultured Neocallimastigales. RNAcentral's name for it is "partial large subunit ribosomal RNA". It matches the Rfam family "Eukaryotic large subunit ribosomal RNA", at positions 24 to 644 of the family's 3401-position model. The record is from RNAcentral. Lineage: Eukaryota; Fungi; Neocallimastigomycota; Neocallimastigomycetes; Neocallimastigales.